Molecule: ribosomal RNA, 274 nt
Filed under: uncultured bacterium
Lineage: Bacteria
Description: partial 16S ribosomal RNA
Rfam family: Bacterial small subunit ribosomal RNA
Source: RNAcentral
AUACGGAGGGUGCAAGCGUUGUCCGGAUUUAUUGGGUUUAAAGGGUGCGCAGGCGGUGCGUUAAGUCAGUGGUGAAAUCUUCCGGCUCAACCGGGAAACUGCCAUUGAUACUGGCGCACUUGAGUACGGACGAGGUAGGCGGAAUUUAUGGUGUAGCGGUGAAAUGCAUAGAUACCAUAAAGAACACCGAUAGCGAAGGCAGCUUACCAGACCGUAACUGACGCUCAGGCACGAAAGCGUGGGGAGCAGACAGGAUUAGAAACCCUAGUAGUCC